AACUAACGCUGGCGGCGUGCCUAACACAUGCAAGUCGAACGCGAAAGGGCUUCGGCCCGAGUAGAGUGGCGGACGGGUGAGUAAUGCGUGGGAAUCUACCCUAGAGCGGGGGACAACCCGGGGAAACCCGGGCUAAUACCGCAUACGUCCUACGGGAGAAAGGGGGCCUCUGAAUGUAAGCUCCCACUCCAGGAUGAGCCCACGUCCGAUUAGCUAGUUGGUAGGGUAAAGGCCUACCAAGGCCACGAUCCGUAGCUGGUCUGAGAGGAUGACCAGUCACACCGGAACUGAGACACGGUCCGGACUCCUACGGGAGGCAGCAGUGGGGAAUAUUGGACAAUGGGCGCAAGCCUGAUCCAGCCAUGCCGCGUGGGUGAAGAAGGCCUCGGUGUAAGCCCUUAGUGGGAGGAAGGCGAUUCAUGCUAAUACCAUGGAUGAUUGACGUUACCACAGAAUAAGCACCGGCUAACUCCGUGCCAGCAG
RNAcentral lists this ribosomal RNA (483 nucleotides) under uncultured bacterium. RNAcentral's name for it is "bacterial SSU rRNA". It matches the Rfam family "Bacterial small subunit ribosomal RNA", at positions 29 to 514 of the family's 1533-position model. The record is from RNAcentral.